RNAcentral lists this unclassified non-coding RNA (336 nucleotides) under soil metagenome. Its description in RNAcentral is "partial contains 5.8S ribosomal RNA, internal transcribed spacer 2, and large subunit ribosomal RNA". The stretch from base 1 to 120 matches the Rfam family "5.8S ribosomal RNA", at positions 35 to 154 of the family's 154-position model. The record is from RNAcentral.
GAUGAAGAACGUAGCGAAAUGCGAUAAGUAAUGUGAAUUGCAGAAUUCAGUGAAUCAUCGAAUCUUUGAACGCACAUUGCGCCCGCCAGUAUUCUGGCGGGCAUGCCUGUUCGAGCGUCAUUUCAACCAUCAAGCCCCCGGCUUGUGUUGGGGACCUGCGGCUGCCGCAGGCCCUGAAAACCAGUGGCGGGCUCGCUGUCACACCGAGCGUAGUAGAUUAUCAUCUCGCUCAGGGCGUGCUGCGGGUUCCGGCCGUAAAAAGCCUUAUUUACCAAAGGUUGACCUCGGAUCAGGUAGGAAGACCCGCUGAACUUAAGCAUAUCAAUAAGCGGAGGA